This 301-nucleotide ribosomal RNA is filed under the name uncultured bacterium. RNAcentral describes it as "partial 16S ribosomal RNA". It matches the Rfam family "Bacterial small subunit ribosomal RNA", at positions 509 to 809 of the family's 1533-position model. The record is from RNAcentral.
CAGCAGCCGCGGUAAUACGUAGGUGGCAAGCGUUGUCCGGAAUUAUUGGGCGUAAAGGGCUCGCAGGCGGUUUCUUAAGUCUGAUGUGAAAGCCCCCGGCUCAACCAGGGAGGGUCAUUGGAAACUGGGAAACUUGAGUGCAGAAGAGGAGAGUGGAAUUCCACGUGUAGCGGUGAAAUGCGUAGAGAUGUGGAGGAACACCAGUGGCGAAGGCGACUCUCUGGUCUGUAACUGACGCUGAGGAGCGAGAGCGUGGGGAGCGAACAGGAUUAGAUACCCCGGUAGUCCCUGUCUCUUAUAA